Molecule: ribosomal RNA, 204 nt
Filed under: uncultured bacterium
Lineage: Bacteria
Description: partial 16S ribosomal RNA
Rfam family: Bacterial small subunit ribosomal RNA
Source: RNAcentral
UACAGAGGUCUCAAGCGUUGUUCGGAUUCAUUGGGCGUAAAGGGUGCGUAGGUGGCGUCGUAAGUCAGGUGUGAAAUUUCGGAGCUUAACUCCGAAACUGCAUUUGAUACUGCGGUGCUUGAGGACUGGAGAGGAGACUGGAAUUUACGGUGUAGCAGUGAAAUGCGUAGAGAUCGUAAGGAAGACCAGUGGCGAAGGCGGCCC